Molecule: ribosomal RNA, 496 nt
Filed under: uncultured bacterium
Lineage: Bacteria
Description: partial 16S ribosomal RNA
Rfam family: Bacterial small subunit ribosomal RNA
Source: RNAcentral
GAUGAACGCUGGCGGCGUGCCUAAUACAUGCAAGUCGAGCGAACAGACGAGGAGCUUGCUCCUCUGACGUUAGCGGCGGACGGGUGAGUAACACGUGGAAACCUACCUAUAAGACUGGGAUAACUUCGGGAAACCGGAGCUAAUACCGGAUAAUAUAUUGAACCGCAUGGUUCAAUAGUGAAAGACGGUUUUGCUGUCACUUAUAGAUGGAUCCGCGCCGCGUUAGCUAGUUGGUAAGGUAACGGCUUACCAAGGCGACGAUGCGUAGCCGACCUGAGAGGGUGAUCGGCCACACUGGAACUGAGACACGGUCCAGACUCCUACGGGAGGCAGCAGUAGGGAAUCUUCCGCAAUGGGCGAAAGCCUGACGGAGCAACGCCGCGUGAGUGAUGAAGGUCUUCGGAUCGUAAAACUCUGUUAUUAGGGAAGAACAAAUGUGUAAGUAACUAUGCACGUCUUGACGGUACCUAAUCAGAAAGCCACGGCUAACUACGUG